UGGGGAAGUUUUGCGCAAUGGGGGAAACCCUGACGCAGCAACGCCGCGUGCGGGACGAAGGCCCUCGGGUUGUAAACCGCUUUCAGCAGGGAAGAUCCAAGACGGUACCUGCAGAAGAAGCUCCGGCUAACUACGUGCC
RNAcentral lists this ribosomal RNA (139 nucleotides) under uncultured bacterium. RNAcentral's name for it is "partial 16S ribosomal RNA". It matches the Rfam family "Bacterial small subunit ribosomal RNA", at positions 355 to 509 of the family's 1533-position model. The record is from RNAcentral.